GGCUAACGCUGGCGGCGUGUCUUAGCCAUGCAAGUCGAGCGGACUUAUGGGGUAACUUAUAAGUCAGCGGCGGACGGCGGAGUAACACGUAGCUAACCUACCCUCUGGACGGGGAUAACCUACCGAAAGGUGGGCUAAUACCCGAUGUAGUCAUCCUGUAUAGGGGUGAUGAAAGGUGGGCUUCUGUUUACAAGCUCAUGCUGGAGGAGGGGGCUGCGGCCUAUCAGGUAGUUGGUAGGGUAAUAGCCUACCAAGCCGAUGACGGGUAGCCGGCCUGAGAGGGUGACCGGCCCGAGGGGCACUGAGAUACGGGUCCCACUCCUACGGGAGGCAGCAGGCUAGAAAUUUGGGCAAUGGGGGAAACCCUGACCCAGUGACGCCGCGUGCAGGAAGGAGCCCUUCGGGGUGUAAACUGCUGUCGUGUAGGGAGAAGGGUACUAAGGUGAACAAUCUUAGUACUUGACGGUACUACAGGAGGAAGCCCAGGCUAACCUCGUGCCAGCAGCCGCGGUAAGCUCGUCUCUA
This 525-nucleotide ribosomal RNA is filed under the name uncultured bacterium. RNAcentral's name for it is "bacterial SSU rRNA". It matches the Rfam family "Bacterial small subunit ribosomal RNA", at positions 28 to 533 of the family's 1533-position model. The record is from RNAcentral.